RNAcentral lists this ribosomal RNA (390 nucleotides) under uncultured Cercozoa. RNAcentral describes it as "SSU rRNA". It matches the Rfam family "Eukaryotic small subunit ribosomal RNA", at positions 587 to 972 of the family's 1831-position model. Lineage: Eukaryota; Cercozoa. The record is from RNAcentral.
AGCUCCAAUAGCGUAUAUUAAAGUUGUUGCAGUUAAAAAGCUCGUAGUUGGAUUUCUGGUACGAUGCGCCUAGCCCGUCCUCGUCAGAGGCACGUGUGCUGGUGUGCGUCUGCCAUCUUUCUAGAGAGCUGCACUAGCCUUCAUUGGUUUGGUGUUAGUCAUCUAGAUCUUUUACUUUGAAAAAAUUAGAGUGUUUAAAGCAGGCUUUCGCUAUGAAUACAUUAGCAUGGAAUAAUAAUUUAGGACUUUGUUUCUAUUUUGUUGGUUUCUAGAGGCGAAGUAAUGAUUGAUAGGGAUAGUUGGGGGUGCUAGUAUUCAGCGGCCAGAGGUGAAAUUCUUGGAUUCGCUGAAGACUAACUUAUGCGAAAGCAUUCACCAAGGAUGUCUUCU